AUACGGAGGGUGCAAGCGUUGUUCGGAAUCAUUGGGCGUAAAGAGCGUGUAGGCGGCUUGGUAAGUCGGGUGUGAAAUCCCGGGGCCCAACCCCGGAACUGCAUUCGAAACUGCCUCGCUAGAGUCUCGGAGAGGAAGGCGGAAUUCCCGGUGUAGAGGUGAAAUUCGUAGAUAUCGGGAGGAACACCAGCGGCGAAGGCGGCCUUCUGGACGAUGACUGACGCUGAGACGCGAAAGCGUGGGGAGCAAACAGGAGUAGAAACCCCUGUAGUCC
This 274-nucleotide ribosomal RNA is filed under the name uncultured bacterium. RNAcentral describes it as "partial 16S ribosomal RNA". It matches the Rfam family "Bacterial small subunit ribosomal RNA", at positions 523 to 796 of the family's 1533-position model. The record is from RNAcentral.